CCGAACCCAAAAUCCGAAGUGGAGGCAUGGAGGCUUUCUCUGUCUCCGUUUCGCUCUGUACGACGGCGUCUCCACCAAGCGCCCGCCACGAGCAUCGUCACCUGCGGGCUUCGCAACAGUACGAGAAGGCCACUGUGGAGGUCGAACGUUGUUGUCGACGGAGGCCACACGAGCCGUCCAGUCCCUCAUGCUGCCCAAAUCCACUCUUCGGUUGAACCACGCCCUCGGCACGAUCCUCGCUCGGCUCUCGUAAUCCCAUCUCUCGAACGCCUUCGCUGAGCUCAAGAGACUGAACGAGGUCGACUUGGCCCUCGAGCUAUAGGUCCCCGAGUACAUGUGCAAGGAGGAAUGUUAUGGAACUGAUCUUGCAUUGCUUUGCGAAAUGAUCCAACUGUUGGGAAAGAACAAAUGGUUGCUCUCGCUGAAGUUGUUUUCUCUGGACUUCUGAAAGAAGGGACUGAACCUGACACAAGGCCUUAUGCGGAGAUGAUUGGAGCAUAUCUUAGAGCAGACAUGAUUGAAAAGGCAAUGCAGACUUAUGAGAAGAUGAAAGCACCUGGUUGUACCCCAAAUGAAUUCUGGAUGCACUAUUUCAAUAUUUCCUUUUUAUUGUUCUAAUUCUAUCUUAAAAGAUUCCAGCUAUACGUCUUCGGGUAUGUGUGCAAGGAGGAAUGGUGCGAAACUGAUCUCGCAUUGCAUUGCGACAUGAUCCAACUAUUGGGAAAGAACAAAAUGGUUGCUCUUGCUGAAGUUGUUUUCUCUGGACUUCUGAAAUAAGGGAUUGAACUUGACACAAUGGCUUAUGCCGAGAUGGUUGGAGUAUAUCUAAGAGUGGACAUGAUUGAAAAGGCAACGCAGAUGUAUGAGAAGAUGAAAGCAGCUGGCCGUACCCCAAAUGAAUUUACCCUGAUGAUUCUCAUAAGAAAUCUAGAGAAGGCCAGAGAAACAGAUCUGGUAGAGUUUGUGAAGAGAGAUUGUGUUCAAUAUUUGGAUUCUCCUAAAAAGUUCUUAGAAGAUGUCAACAGAAAAUUUGUAGGAAUUCACUCUUCCAUACUCAUUCUAGCAUUAUGUUCUCUAUAUGCAUAUCCUUCUGCAUGGGCUUCUCUCUGAUCCUUCCUGUUUUAAGCAGCUUUAAGAUUAUCUUUUGAUACGAAUGCUCAUGUCUCUUGGAUGAUAUCUGGGGAUGAAUUUUCUUUAAGGGCAGUCAUCAUUGCUCAAAAAUGAAUGUUUGACACAACAUAAACUAAAUCUUUAUAUUCUUGGCUUGUCCAGGUAGGAGUUCUGCACAUGCUACCCCUAACCACAGUAUUUUCUGGCCAGUGGUUAAAUUUGUUCUUCGCUUUCUUCCGAAAGUUGUUCUGCUUCCUUGCAUGUUCUGCAUUUAUAAUAAGAAUGCGUUCCUUCUUUACAUUACUAGUCGCUUAUAAUGAAUUCUUGGGAUUUACAAUGUAAUUCUGUUGUUUGAGUCCAGUGUUCCAUUCACUAACGAAAAUUUCCUGAGGCAGGGAGAAGUAUUAUUGCGAUAGCUCUAGCUUUUGCUAUCCUUUCGCUUUCUAGAUGCUUGAACUUUACUUUUGACAUAUCUUCAUGGGAAACUUUGCCUCUUGAAGAUGAGGUUCUCAACUUCUCUUCUUGUUCUUUUACAGCCGAAUAGGAGAUCGAUUGACCUAGGACUCACGGCUAUGCAAGCAUGGGCAGCUGCAAGUCCUGCUCCAGCAAUGAAAACAGGCGCCACUUUUGAACGACUUCUGUCAAAAUCGUUACCCAUGGUUCACAGCAGGAUCUUGAAUAUUUUCUUCUAUUGUGAUAUAGAUACGCAUUCAAAUUAGUUAAAUUGUGAAAAUUCAAUCAUUACUAGAUUAACUCUGUCCUAUUUUAACCGAACGUGUAACUAUUCAAUCAAUUCGUUGGGUGCUAUGUGAUUUUGUUAA
Long non-coding RNA from Eucalyptus grandis, 1931 nucleotides. RefSeq lists it as uncharacterized. Lineage: Eukaryota; Viridiplantae; Streptophyta; Magnoliopsida; Myrtales; Myrtaceae. The transcript has 2 exons. The record is from RefSeq and is a predicted model, not a curated record.